This 496-nucleotide ribosomal RNA is filed under the name uncultured bacterium. RNAcentral's name for it is "bacterial SSU rRNA". It matches the Rfam family "Bacterial small subunit ribosomal RNA", at positions 31 to 518 of the family's 1533-position model. The record is from RNAcentral.
GAACGCUAGCGACAGGCUAACACAUGCAAGUCGAGGGGCAGCAUAAAAGUAGCAAUACGUUGGUGGCGACCGGCGCACGGGUGAGUAACGCGUAUGCAACCUACCUAUCAGAGGGGAAUAACCCGGCGAAAGUCGGACUAAUACCGCAUAAAACAGGGGCACCGCAUGGUGAUAUUUGUUAAAGAAAUUCGCUGAUAGAUGGGCAUGCGUUCCAUUAGGUAGUUGGUGAGGUAACGGCUCACCAAGCCGACGAUGGAUAGGGGAACUGAGAGGUUGGUCCCCCACACUGGUACUGAGACACGGACCAGACUCCUACGGGAGGCAGCAGUGAGGAAUAUUGGUCAAUGGGGCGGGAGCCUGAACCAGCCAAGUCCGCGUGAAGGAAGAAGGAUCUAUGGUUCGUAAACUUCUUUUGCAGGGGAAUAAAGUGCAGGACGUGUCCUGUUUUGUAUGUACCCUGAGAAUAAGGAUCGGCUAACUCCGUGCCAGCCGCGGC